GUGGGGAAUAUUGGACAAUGGGCGAAAGCCUGAUCCAGCCAUGCCGCGUGUGUGAAGAAGGUCUUCGGAUUGUAAAGCACUUUAAGUUGGGAGGAAGGGCAGUAAGUUAAUACCUUGCUGUUUUGACGUUACCGACAGAAUAAGCACCGGCUAACUUCGUGCCAGCAGCCGCGGUAAUACGAAGGGUGCAAGCGUUAAUCGGAAUUACUGGGCGUAAAUCGCGCGUAGGUGGUUUUGUAAGUUGGAGGUGAAAUCCCCGGGCUCAACCUGGGAACUGCCUCCAAAACUGCAUGACUAGAGUACGGUAGAGGGUAGUGGAAUUUCCUGUGUAGCGGUGAAAUGCGUAGAUAUAGGAAGGAACACCAGUGGCGAAGGCGACUACCUGGACUGAUACUGACACUGAGGUGCGAAAGCGUGGGGAGCAAACAGGAUUAGAUACCCGAGUAGUCC
This 450-nucleotide ribosomal RNA is filed under the name uncultured bacterium. RNAcentral's name for it is "bacterial SSU rRNA". It matches the Rfam family "Bacterial small subunit ribosomal RNA", at positions 354 to 796 of the family's 1533-position model. The record is from RNAcentral.